CCGGGCCGUACCAAGGCGAUGAUGCAUAGCCCGAGUUGAGAGACUGAUCGGGGCCACAUUGGGGACUGAGACACGGGCCCAAACUCCUACGGGAGGCAGCAGUAGGGAAUCUUCCACAAUGGACGCAAGUCUGAUGGAGCAAACGCCGCGUGAGUGAAGAAGGGUUUCGGCUCGUAAAAAGCUCUGUUGUUGGUGAAGAAGGACAGGGGUAGUAACUGACCCUUUGUUUGACGGUAAUCAAUUAGAAAGUCACGGGCUAACUACGUGCCAGCAGCCGCGGUAAAU
This 285-nucleotide ribosomal RNA is filed under the name uncultured Lactobacillus sp. RNAcentral's name for it is "partial 16S ribosomal RNA". It matches the Rfam family "Bacterial small subunit ribosomal RNA", at positions 258 to 525 of the family's 1533-position model. Lineage: Bacteria; Bacillati; Bacillota; Bacilli; Lactobacillales; Lactobacillaceae. The record is from RNAcentral.